GAAGAAAGCAAUGACGAAGGCUUUUGUAAUCGAGUACCAGAAUUUGAACUCGGGGAGACGCCGUGAGAACGGCCGGAACUCAUCCGACGACUUCGUCGGCAGCGACGGCCCAGACGGAUCAAGCAGCUCCUGGAUCUCCGGAUCCUCCUGCGGCGACAGGAACGCAAUGAGGAGGUUGAGAACGUAGAUGCCAAGCCCGUAGGUGACGACAUAGAAGCCCUGGACUAGGAACACGCGGAGGAGGUACGCGGCAGCGAGGAAGCCGAGCCAUCCCCAUCGUUUGGCGACGAAGGGCGUCGAUUUGUCGAGGAAGUGCUGGUACCGCCGUGACAACGCGGCGGUGCGGGCGGAGAGGAAGGCAACGCCGGCGGGCGGGGAGGAGCUCGAUCCUGGAUCGCCGGCGGCGGCGGCGGUGGAGGGAUCCAGCAUCGUGGGUUCCGGCCGAUGGAUCGUUCACCG
This 459-nucleotide unclassified non-coding RNA is filed under the name Hevea brasiliensis (rubber tree). Lineage: Eukaryota; Viridiplantae; Streptophyta; Magnoliopsida; Malpighiales; Euphorbiaceae. The record is from RNAcentral.